Molecule: ribosomal RNA, 447 nt
Filed under: uncultured bacterium
Lineage: Bacteria
Description: bacterial SSU rRNA
Rfam family: Bacterial small subunit ribosomal RNA
Source: RNAcentral
CCAGACUCCUACGGGAGGCAGCAGUGGGGGAUAUUGCACAAUGGGGGAAACCCUGAUGCAGCGACGCCGCGUGAGUGAAGAAGUAUUUCGGUAUGUAAAGCUCUAUCAGCAGGGACGAAAAUGACGGUACCUGAGUAAGAAGCCCCGGCUAACUACGUGCCAGCAGCCGCGGUAAUACGUAGGGGGCAAGCGUUAUCCGGAUUUACUGGGUGUAAAGGGAGCGUAGACGGUGAAGUAAGUCUGGAGUGAAAGGCGGGGGCCCAACCCCCGGACUGCUCUGGAAACUAUUUGACUGGAGUGCAGGAGAGGUAAGCGGAAUUCCUAGUGUAGCGGUGAAAUGCGUAGAUAUUAGGAGGAACACCAGUGGCGAAGGCGGCUUACUGGACUGUAACUGACGUUGAGGCUCGAAAGCGUGGGGAGCAAACAGGAUUAGAUACCCCAGUAUAA